AAAACUUUCCAAAACAGGACAGAAAUGAGGUGGCAAGGCGAACCAGGUUGUUUUGCCACGUGUGCGUACAUGUGGCAGGAUUUAAAGAGGUAUGGCUCAAAUUGGGUCUGAUGUGAUCAAACGAUUGGGAAAUUAGGUACUUAAGGAUGGUUUCCUUUCAUUUGGAAAAGAGCCAAAACCAGGGGAGAGGGAGAGAGAAAGUUGAGUAUGAGUGGGAGAGUGAGAGAGGGAGCAGAGAACGGCAGUCCGAGAGGGAUGAGGAGAGAGCGGCAGAGGCACAAGAUCAGGAAGAAGAAGAUGACAGUAAAGGGAAAAGAGAGAGAUCUACAGACGUUAUGCAGAGAGAGAGAGAGAGAGAGAGAGAGAGAGGGAGAGAGAAGAGGAAAAAAAGAAGAAAGAAGAAGAAAAAGGCACAGUGACUUGGCAUGUGCGGUAGAAAAGGUGACUCCGCGCGCAGCG
RNAcentral lists this long non-coding RNA (459 nucleotides) under Carica papaya (papaya). RNAcentral's name for it is "long non-coding RNA (CPAP_LNC010809)". The record is from RNAcentral. Lineage: Eukaryota; Viridiplantae; Streptophyta; Magnoliopsida; Brassicales; Caricaceae.